GAAAAAAAUCGGUGAAGCUCAGGAGGGAUAGCGUCAAAUUCCACGUGUAUGAUCACAGUUUGUUUUAGACGCUAUCCAUCCUGAGCUCCAUGGAUUUUUCAU
This 102-nucleotide microRNA precursor is filed under the name Helianthus annuus (common sunflower). RNAcentral describes it as "microRNA MIR390". It matches the Rfam family "MIR390 microRNA precursor family". The record is from RNAcentral. Lineage: Eukaryota; Viridiplantae; Streptophyta; Magnoliopsida; Asterales; Asteraceae.